GACGAACGCUGGCGGCGUGCUUAACACAUGCAAGUCGAACGGAAAGGCCCUGCUUGCAGGGUAUUCGAGUGGCGAACGGGUGGGUAACACAUGGGUGAUUUGCCCUGCACUUCGGGGUAAGCCUGGGCAAAUGGGUCUAUAACCGGAUAGCAGCCACUUUUAGCGUGAUGGUUGGAAAGAUUUUUCGGUGUUGGGUGAGCUGGCGGGCUAUUAGCUUGUUGGUGGGGUAAUGGGGUACCAAGGCGGCGACGGGUAGCGGGCCUGUGAGGGUGGAAGGCGGUACAGGGACCUACGGAAGGCCCAAGUGCCUACGAGAGGAAGCAGGGCGGAAGAUUGCACAAGGGGCGCAAGGCGGGUGCAGCGGCGCCGCGGGGGGGAUAACGGCCUUCGGGUUGAAGACUCCUUUCGCGAGAAACGAAGCUUUUUGUGACGGUACCUAGAGAAGAAGCACCGGCUAACUACGUG
This 465-nucleotide ribosomal RNA is filed under the name uncultured bacterium. RNAcentral's name for it is "partial 16S ribosomal RNA". It matches the Rfam family "Bacterial small subunit ribosomal RNA", at positions 28 to 507 of the family's 1533-position model. The record is from RNAcentral.